GACGAACGCUGGCGGCGUGCUUAACACAUGCAAGUCGAACGGAAAGGCCCUGCUUUUGUGGGGUGCUCGAGUGGCGAACGGGUGAGUAACACGUGAGUAACCUGCCCUUGACUUUGGGAUAACUUCAGGAAACUGGGGCUAAUACCGGAUAGGAGCUCCUGCUGCAUGGUGGGGGUUGGAAAGUUUCGGCGGUUGGGGAUGGACUCGCGGCUUAUCAGCUUGUUGGUGGGGUAGUGGCUUACCAAGGCUUUGACGGGUAGCCGGCCUGAGAGGGUGACCGGCCACAUUGGGACUGAGAUACGGCCCAGACUCCUACGGGGGGCAGCAGGGGGGAAUAUUGCACAAUGGGCGGAAGCCUGAUGCAGCAACGCCGCGUGCGGGAUGACGGCCUUCGGGUUGUAAACCGCUUUCGCCUGUGACGAAGCGUGAGUGACGGUAAUGGGUAAAGAAGCACCGGCUAACUACG
This 466-nucleotide ribosomal RNA is filed under the name uncultured bacterium. RNAcentral's name for it is "partial 16S ribosomal RNA". It matches the Rfam family "Bacterial small subunit ribosomal RNA", at positions 28 to 505 of the family's 1533-position model. The record is from RNAcentral.